This 776-nucleotide small RNA is filed under the name Pan troglodytes (chimpanzee). Its description in RNAcentral is "processed transcript". Lineage: Eukaryota; Metazoa; Chordata; Mammalia; Primates; Hominidae. The record is from RNAcentral.
AGUGCAGCCUCCAGCCAGAAGGAUGGGGUGGCUCCCACUCCUGCUGCUUCUGACUCAAUGCUUAGGGGCCCCUGGGCCUUCCACUACAACGUGAGCAGCCAUGGUUGCCAACUGCUGCCAUGGACUCAACACUCGCCCCACACGAGGCUGCGGCGUUCUGGGCGCUGUGACCUCUUCCAGAAGAAAGGCAAGUGGGGGUGGAGAGGGGCAGGGUGGGAGACAGGGGACCUCAGCCCAAGUUGAUCUUCUGUCUCUUGCUCCCAGACUACGUACGGACCUGCAUCAUGAACAAUGGGGUUCGGUACCGGGGCACCAUGGCCACGACCGUGGGUGGCCUGCCCUGCCAGGCUUGGAGCCACAAGUUCCCGAAUGAUCACAAGUGAGACAAACACCUUCCCUCCGUCCCGGCCUGGGGCCUUCCCCCAGCACACACUAUAGUGAUGCUCUGGGCCCUCAGGUACACGCCCACGCUCCGGAAUGGCCUGGAAGAGAACUUCUGCCGUAACCCUGAUGGCGACCCCGGAGGUCCUUGGUGCUACACAACAGACCCUGCCGUGCGCUUCCAGAGCUGCGGCAUCAAAUCCUGCCGGGAGGCCGCGUGUGUCUGGUGCAAUGGCGAGGAAUACCGCGGCGCGGUAGACCGCACGGAGUCAGGGCGCGAGUGCCAGCGCUGGGAUCUUCAGCACCCGCACCAGCACCCCUUCGAGCCGGGCAAGUUCCUCGACCAAGGUCUGGACGACAACUAUUGCCGGAAUCCUGACGGCUCCGAGCGGCCA